This 108-nucleotide transfer RNA is filed under the name Xylariaceae sp. FL1019. RNAcentral's name for it is "tRNA-Met". It matches the Rfam family "tRNA". From Rfam's summary of the family: Transfer RNA (tRNA) molecules are approximately 80 nucleotides in length. Their secondary structure includes four short double-helical elements and three loops (D, anti-codon, and T loops). The record is from RNAcentral. Lineage: Eukaryota; Fungi; Ascomycota; Sordariomycetes; Xylariales; Xylariaceae.
GUCUGGUUGGCUUAGCUGGUUAGAGCGUCGGUCUCAUAAAAAUCAGCAUUAUGAUCAAGCGUAGCUUGAGACAUCCGAAGAUCGCGAGUUCGAUCCUCGCACCGGACA